AUGUAUCGGUCGGUGAUUAAUCGGGCAAAUAUUAAUCGGUGGGUGAGUUCAUGCAUCACCGUGCUCUGGGCGAUGACGGUGACGGUGUCUGCCGGAGUGCCGGCCGGCCUACGCCUCCAUCUCCUCCAUGGCCAUCUCCUUCAUCUUCUGGUGCGCCCUCGUCCCCAGCUCGCAGGCGCAGCCCAGGCACGGUCUGCUCACCGCCACCGCGCACUGGGCCGGCAUGCCGCCGUUGUUCACCGGCACGUCGCCGUCGGCGGCGACGGCUGCUGGCGCCGCCGCCUUGCGCGCGAUGAUGACGGAGUUGAUCACCUCGUCCUCCGGGUGGUGCACGGUGAGCACCUCGAACCCGCCUCGCCGGAUCUCCUCGGGGUCCACCACCGGGUACAGGAACCCGCGCGCGCCGUGCGCGCUCCGCACCACGAGCGCCGCGCCGGGGGCCAUGUGCCUCCCGAGGUGCUCCACCAGGCGCGCCUUCUCCUCGGCCGCCAUGCCCACCAGCGCCGCCAGGAACACCACGUCGUAGCCCGCCAGCUCGGUCGUCACGUCGGCCACGUCUGCCGUGCGGAACGCCAUGCGCGCGCCGGCGUCGGCGUCGUUGCGGACCAGCCGGCUGGCGCGCUCGUUGGCCUCGCCGGAGAUGUCGUAGUUGUCGAAGGAGGCGUCGGGCAGGUGGCGCGCGGCGAGCACGAGGGAGCUGAGCGGCAGCGGGCCGGAGCCGAGGAAGGCGACGCGGGCCGGGGCCGGGCCCGGGACGUGGCGGGCGAGGAGGCCGUGCUCCAGCUGGCUGAGCUUGAUGUAGUUGUUGAAGUAGGGGAAGAGGGUGAGGUGGUCGAGCGGGUUGUCGUGCGCGGCGAGGAGGUCGGAGUAGUGCGCCUCCAGGUGGCCCUCGGCGUCGGCGCAGAGGCGGAUGAGGCGGGCGCGCAUCUCCUGCGCCUCCGGGCCCAGCGCGUCGACGUCGACGGUGCUCGCCGGGAUGCAGGACGUCACCAGCUCGGUGAAGAGCGCGUUCACCGCCGGCGAGGGGCUCAGCGAGGGCAGCUCGCCGAUGGCCGCGGCGAGGCCGGUGAUCUUCUUCACCAGGGCCUCCUCCUCCAUCACCUUCUUGUUGCAGCAGCCCUCCACGCCCAUGAUCUGCCGAUCAGCUGCUAA
Molecule: ribosomal RNA, 1152 nt
Filed under: Triticum aestivum (bread wheat)
Lineage: Eukaryota; Viridiplantae; Streptophyta; Magnoliopsida; Poales; Poaceae
Description: partial small subunit ribosomal RNA
Source: RNAcentral